AGGCAUCCAUCUCCCUGGUUCCAUGGACGACCACAAGGAGAUCGAGUCCCACGACCUUCUCUGUUUCUCCCCUAGCGCGAGCAGGCAAGCUCCUCUGCCCGAGCCGGCGACCAACGGCAGCAGCUCCCGCUGCACCCUGCUACCCCGGCCUCUAGCGCGACCGCUGCCUCGACCUCCCAGCACCGCAAGGCCCAUGUCCUUCUUCUCUUCC
RNAcentral lists this long non-coding RNA (211 nucleotides) under Hordeum vulgare. RNAcentral's name for it is "long non-coding RNA (HVUL_LNC014922)". The record is from RNAcentral. Lineage: Eukaryota; Viridiplantae; Streptophyta; Magnoliopsida; Poales; Poaceae.